Molecule: long non-coding RNA, 2211 nt
Filed under: Oreochromis niloticus (Nile tilapia)
Lineage: Eukaryota; Metazoa; Chordata; Actinopteri; Cichliformes; Cichlidae
Description: lncRNA (ENSONIG00000027411.1)
Source: RNAcentral
AAGUACGUGAGUGCGCAUGCGUACAGAGCGGAAACCGCUCGCUUUGGGCUCCCGUAGUGAGUCAUCUUCUCCUCUGACAAUCUUUGGCUGAGAUACCACUUUUGGCGCCGAAUAUUCCAAAUUAAUAUUUUGCCUCUCUGCAGCGCGGGAGUUGGUGUCUUCGUGUGUGUGAAUGUUGGACUUUUUUGCUGCGAUUUAAACGUUUGUUUUAACCGGGUAUCAGGUGAAGGAAGAGUUUAAAGACAACAUGCAGCGGAGCAUCGCAUCCUUCUUUCAGCCCAAGAGCAAGGACAUUCAGAAGAAAGCUGCAGAGGAGCCUGUGAAAAAGCCUGUCAAGAGUCCUCUGAAGGUGCAGAACGGUGUUCAGGAAGCAGAGUCGCCCAUCAAAAAGGUUGUGAAACGCUGCCGUCAAAUCCUGGACAGCGAUGAUGACGAGGCCCCAGUUGUUAAAGAACAAGUUCCCAGCAAGGGACAAGGAGACAAAGAAGCUCCUGAUAAAACAGAAAAGAAGGAUGAUGCGUUUAAAGCCGUUCCCACCCCCUGUCUCCACCAUCGGCCCCAGCCACGCCUGUAACCCCGGCCACCCCCGCCACCCCUGUCACUCCAGCCACCUCUGCUUCACCGGGGACCCCCAGCACUCCCAAUUCCGUCUCCCCAACUGGGAUCGUCAAACGCAAGACUGGUCAGCAUCUGAACAGAUUUUUAUUAACUUUGUCUUAAUUAAGCUGUUUCAGAAUUGUGCUUUUCAGCUCGUUUUCCAAACUUGCACCAUUUUGAACUUUGACACCAGCAGAGGAUUAAUAGCUUUCCUGCCUCGAGCUGUUUUAUUUGAUUACUUGUUAGCAGGCGCCUAAUGGCUCAAAAUACUCAUUAUUUCACAAUGAGGGAGAAAACAGGAAAUUUAUCUCGAACUGAAUGCAUAAGAAGUUUGUUCACCAGAAGCGGUGAAGUUCAUUUUUCACCCUUUUCUUUCAUUUGUCUUUCCACACUCUGGUCUGCCUUAGAUUGACAACCACGAGACUAGACCGUGAUUGCGCUAUCAUUAAUCUCAUCUGCUGUACCACGAGUACACCCUCCUGGAGCCUAUAUCAUUAUUUUUCUGCACGUCUUUGCAUUGUGAUAAUAAUAUUAUUACUGCUAUGUUGUCUUAGCAGUGCAUCGUUUGUGCUGACUGGGAGUUAAUCGAACCAGCAGAGCAUGUCGUCCUAUUAUUGCAGCUGAUUGUCGGUGUUUAUUUGGGUGCUUUCUUGGGUUUGCAAGCUUUAGAAACUUUGGGCUUUUUUAAAAAAAAAACAAGGCAUAAACAUAUGUAGUGAUUAUUAUUUUAUAGCCUCAGUUGGUACACAGCAGCUUGAACGUUUCACAUCUGCAAGAUAAAACUGAAAGAGAGCUGCUGUUUCUUAUUUGUAAAUUCUUAAUCAGAUGAUGUGUGGAAAUUUCUGCAUUUAAAAUGAAACUGAAUGGCCUAGUGAUUUUUUUUUUUUUUUUUUUUAACAUGGCUCUUUGUAGUUGCUGUCUUUCCCAUAUAACACCAGAUAUGUUGGAGUUUGAACAGAGAAUUUAAGCUGCUUAGAGUUUUCUAGCAUUCCAGCUUUGUCUUCAUUUGAGAAGCACCUCCUCUCCCACUUUGUUUCCUUCAUCUUAGUUUUUGCAGCAGUAAAAGUGGCUCGUUCUCUUCUCAUCGUCCCGUUCUCUUUGUGUUUGAUGACUGCAGUGUUUGCUUUCACCAGUGGCGCGUUGCCACAAUAAGAGCCCCACCACCAUCACUGCUGGAGAAAACAUCACAUUAAAGUAACUCCCUAAUUCGACCAGAAAUUGCAUUCUUAAUGUCCCGGGUUAAUGCUUUCAUUAUAAUAUCCAGAAGAAAAACAUCAGCACUGCUACCUGUGCUAGAACCCCUAACAAGGGCCAAAACAGAGGCGGAUGUGUUACCAAAACUGAAAUUGCCCUCGAGCACCACUGCUGCAUAAAAUUGCAGGGUAAUUUACACUGGAACCGUAAGCUGCUGUGCUGCAUAAUAUUCUUCAGGAUGGAAUUAGUGUUUUCAUUAGCAAAGUAUGUAUCUAUGAUUCUCUCUCCCUUUUUUUUUCCCUUCUUCUUCUUGCCCUACAUCUGCAGCAAGAGAGGAGACUCGUCCUGUUUUCAUCUCCACAUUCUCUUACUGUUUGAUCCUGGCAUGAUUUCAGCUGGGAUGCCUCUUUCUUUUUUUUA